This 497-nucleotide ribosomal RNA is filed under the name uncultured bacterium. RNAcentral's name for it is "partial 16S ribosomal RNA". It matches the Rfam family "Bacterial small subunit ribosomal RNA", at positions 28 to 507 of the family's 1533-position model. The record is from RNAcentral.
GAUGAACGCUGGCGGCGUGCCUAAUACAUGCCAGUCGAGCGAACAGACGAGGAGCUCGCUCCUCUGACGUUAGCGGCGGACGGGUGAGUAACACGUGGAUAACCUACCUAUAAGACUGGGAUAACUUCGGGAAACCGGAGCUAAUACCGGAUAAUAUAUUGAACCGCAUGGUUCAAUAGUGAAAGACGGUUUUGCUGUCACUUAUAGAUGGAUCCGCGCCGCAUUAGCUAGUUGGUAAGGUAACGGCUUACCAAGGCAACGAUGCGUAGCCGACCUGAGAGGGUGAUCGGCCACACUGGAACUGAGACACGGUCCAGACUCCUACGGGAGGCAGCAGUAGGGAAUCUUCCGCAAUGGGCGAAAGCCUGACGGAGCAACGCCGCGUGAGUGAUGAAGGUCUUCGGAUCGUAAAACUCUGUUAUUAGGGAAGAACAAAUGUGUAAGUAACUAUGCACGUCUUGACGGUACCUAAUCAGAAAGCCACGGCUAACUACGUG